AAGAAACCAUAUGUUACGCAAUGUUUGCAACUGUAAUGACACAAUUAACAGAGACCUGCGAGUCUCUACCUGUAUUCUUCUCUUUACCUGUACUCAAAGUAAAAGUUCAAUAAAUACAGAUUUACAACAAAAAAACUAAAAAAAUAAAAUAAAUGUUUUCAGGCAUUUAAAUAUCAGUGUUGCAGUUUCUGUACUGUUAUUGCGAAUGAUGACAAUGCACUUGAGUCAAGAACAAAGAAAGUGUAUUCUGAAGCAGUACUGCAGCCCCGUGGAGUUGCAUAGACGAAGGAGGGCCUUGACAGUUUGUACUGAGCAAAGCAGUAGGGAUUGGUAGAGAGGAUUAGGAGGAUGAAGGGCAUAUAGGGGCUGGGGACCUUUACACAGCAGCCAUUUUAUGGGUAAAUUUGUCCAUCUAUCUCUUUUGCCCACCCUCCAUCCCUAGUUGGGAUUUAAUGGUGUUGGGACACUACUUCCAAGUUCUGACGGUUUUCUCUUUCUUUUUCAGAGGCAGCUG
Non-coding RNA from Pelobates cultripes (western spadefoot toad), 514 nucleotides. NCBI's taxonomy places the organism in Eukaryota, Metazoa, Chordata, Amphibia, Anura, Pelobatidae. The record is from the annotation of a GenBank genome assembly.